This 261-nucleotide long non-coding RNA is filed under the name Oryza brachyantha (malo sina). RNAcentral's name for it is "long non-coding RNA (OBRA_LNC001000)". Lineage: Eukaryota; Viridiplantae; Streptophyta; Magnoliopsida; Poales; Poaceae. The record is from RNAcentral.
GUAGGGACAUUUUACUAUUAACUAUAACCAUAAAUAAUACAUGGAAUUACAGAUGUAAUUUCAGGCAAAGAGAGACACACAAAGGACAGCAAAAGAAAACAGAUUCUGAAUAUGCAUCUCUGCUUCGCACAUGUACAUGCAGUGCAAAAACAGCAAAGCACAUGUAUACUUCAUGUUCUGAAUCAGCAAUCAGUAUAAAUUGCAAAACACCAAAGAAAAAUGGAAUCGGACGCCAACACCAGCCACGGCCAGCACCUUCCC